Molecule: ribosomal RNA, 279 nt
Filed under: uncultured bacterium
Lineage: Bacteria
Description: partial 16S ribosomal RNA
Rfam family: Bacterial small subunit ribosomal RNA
Source: RNAcentral
UGCCAGCCGCCGCGGUAAUACGGAGGGUGCGAGCGUUGUUCGGAAUUACUGGGCGUAAAGCGCGUGUAGGCGGAUGAAGAAGUUGGGUGUGAAAGCCCUGGGCUCAACCCAGGAAGUGCGCUCAAAACCAUUCAUCUAGAGAUCCGGAGGGGAUCGGGGAAUUCCAAGUGUAGAGGUGAAAUUCGUAGAUAUUUGGAAGAACACCGGUGGCGAAAGCGCCGAUCUGGACGGAAUCUGACGCUGAGACGCGAAAGCGUGGGGAGCAAACAGGAUUAGAUA